UACGUAGGGUGCGAGCGUUGUCCGGAAUUAUUGGGCGUAAAGAGCUCGUAGGCGGUCUGUCGCGUCGAAUGUGAAAACCCGGGGCUCAACUCCGGGCUUGCAUUCGAUACGGGCAGGCUAGAGUUCGGUAGGGGAGCCUGGAAUUCCUGGUGUAGCGGUGAAAUGCGCAGAUAUCAGGAGGAACACCGGUGGCGAAGGCGGGACUCUGGGCCGAUACUGACGCUGAGGAGCGAAAGCGUGGGGAGCGAACAGG
This 253-nucleotide ribosomal RNA is filed under the name uncultured bacterium. RNAcentral's name for it is "partial 16S ribosomal RNA". It matches the Rfam family "Bacterial small subunit ribosomal RNA", at positions 524 to 776 of the family's 1533-position model. The record is from RNAcentral.